UCCGCGGUAGCUCAACCUGGUAGAGCGUCCGGCUGUUAACCGGAGGGUUGCAGGUUCGAUUCCUGCCCGCGGAGCCA
This 77-nucleotide transfer RNA is filed under the name Pseudomonadota bacterium. RNAcentral's name for it is "tRNA-Asn". It matches the Rfam family "tRNA". From Rfam's summary of the family: Transfer RNA (tRNA) molecules are approximately 80 nucleotides in length. RNAcentral also lists the same sequence under 2 other names. Lineage: Bacteria; Pseudomonadati; Pseudomonadota. The record is from RNAcentral.